Molecule: unclassified non-coding RNA, 733 nt
Filed under: Bradyrhizobium sp. 220k/Worou2S5/INERA5/LCM3794/STM10205
Lineage: Bacteria; Pseudomonadati; Pseudomonadota; Alphaproteobacteria; Hyphomicrobiales; Nitrobacteraceae
Description: partial 16S-23S ribosomal RNA intergenic space
Rfam family: Bacterial large subunit ribosomal RNA (bases 613-733)
Source: RNAcentral
GUCGGAGUUCAGUCUUCCCAGGCCCACCACGCUUCGCCGUCGGCUUCGCAUGGCACCGCCAGGCAGAACGACGAGGCGAAGCGCGUCCGGCAUAGCCCGAAGGGCGACGCCGGACAGAAAGAGCGCUUCGUCUUCUGGUUACGGGGCCAUAGCUCAGCUGGGAGAGCGCGUGCUUUGCAAGCAUGAGGUCGUCGGUUCGAUCCCGUCUGGCUCCACCAGAUGGUUUGAUCACCGAGAUCUUGACCGUCGUCCGCGAAACAUCACUUCGCAUCCUGCUAGUCUGGAUAGACAGCAAGUUGCGUGUUUUCUGACAUCGUAAAGAGGAGAUCGAUCCGAGUUGGAUCGUGCAACAUAUCGUUGCGCGAGCCUUCAUUAUCUCCGGAUCAUUUCGGCGCUCGCUUCCAGCCGUGAGGUUGGAUGCGGGUUGUAAAUGAUCCUUUUAGCGAAGCUUGACCGCCUCGCUAUCGGAACGAUCUUACGAAGCAAGCUGGUCUUUCUAGUCAAUGUCCGGCUGUACGUAGCAUUCAUCGAGGGUGCGCGCCCGAGAUUUCGGUCUCUUGGCAAUCGUACAGACAACAUUCUGCCGAGUGUGUGGACAUUGAUAAUGAGAGCAAUCAAGUGCCUUAAGGGUGUUCGGUGGAUGCCUUGGCGCUGAGAGGCGAUGAAGGACGUGCUACGCUGCGAUAAGCCGUGGGGAGCUGCGAAGAAGCUUUGAUCCGCGGAUUUCCGAUGG